Molecule: non-coding RNA, 72 nt
Organism: Podarcis lilfordi (Lilford's wall lizard)
Lineage: Eukaryota; Metazoa; Chordata; Lepidosauria; Squamata; Lacertidae
Source: the annotation of a GenBank genome assembly
AGGGCCAUAGCUCAGUGGUGGAGCAUCUGCUUUGCAUGCAGAAGGUCGCAGGUUCAAUCCCUGGUGUCCCUA